RNAcentral lists this ribosomal RNA (693 nucleotides) under Triticum aestivum (bread wheat). RNAcentral's name for it is "partial small subunit ribosomal RNA". The record is from RNAcentral. Lineage: Eukaryota; Viridiplantae; Streptophyta; Magnoliopsida; Poales; Poaceae.
AUGGCUCGCCGUCUCAACCGAGGCAAAACACCAUCCUUGUUGUUCAAGCUAGAUAUCCGGAAAGCCUUUGAUUCCGUGUGCUGGGACUACAUUCUUGAUCUUCUACAACGACGGGGUUUUCCAAGCAUUUCCCGGGAUUGGAUCGCUACACUUCUUCGUACCUCCUCUUCCAGAGUCUUGCUGAACGGGGUGUCGGGACAACCGAUAAAGCAUGGCCAGGGCCUACGGCAGGGUGACCCGGUAUCCCCGCUACUAUUUGUCCUCGCCAUUGACCCGCUUCAGCAAUUGCUAGAUCUGGCCACGACUAAAGGGCUACUGCACAAGAUUAGGGGUCGUGGCUCCUCCUUUCGUACCUCCCUUUACGCUGAUGAUGCGGUUGUUUUUGUUAAGCCAAUAAAAGACGAUGUAACCAACCUUGCCACCAUUCUGCAUUGCUUUGGAGAGGUCACCGGUCUCUACACUAAUCUUCACAAAAGCUCAGUCGUCCCUAUCCGCUGUCAGAACUACGAUCUUGACAACAUCCUCCAGGGGCUCCCGACGGCGCGGGCUUCCUUCCCCCUGAAGUACUUGGGCCUUCCUAUGUCAGUUCGGAGGCUCAAGCGUGUGGACUUCCAAUAUCUCGAAGAUAAAGUGGCUACCAAGCUUAUUCCUUGGGAGGGAAGAUAUAUUGCUGCUCCGGGUCGUGGGGUCUUG